CUACGGGUUGCUGCAGUCGGGAAUCUUUCGCAAUGGGCGCAAGCCUGACGAAGCGACGUCGCGUGCUUGAAGAAGCCCUUCGGGGUGUAAAGAGCUUUUCUGCCAGAAUAAGCUUCGGCUGAAGGUACGGCAGGAAUAAGGGGUGGCUAAACUCGUGCCAGAAGCCUCGGUAAUGCGAGUGCCCCAAACGUUAUCCGGAUUUACUGGGCGUAAAGAGCUUUAAGACGGUUUGGAAAGUCCUUGGUUAAAUUCUUAGAGCUUAACUUUAAGAUUGCUAAGGAUACUUCUAAACUAGAGGACGUUAGAGGGCAGCGGAACAGCCGGUGUAGGGGUGGAAUCCGUUGAUAUCGGCUGGAACACCAAAAGCGAAGGCAGCUGGCUGGGGCGUUCCUGACGUUGUACAGCGAAAGCUAGGGCAUGGAAGAGGAUUAGAUACCCGUGUAGUC
This 446-nucleotide ribosomal RNA is filed under the name uncultured bacterium. RNAcentral describes it as "partial 16S ribosomal RNA". It matches the Rfam family "Bacterial small subunit ribosomal RNA", at positions 339 to 795 of the family's 1533-position model. The record is from RNAcentral.